Molecule: ribosomal RNA, 714 nt
Filed under: uncultured bacterium
Lineage: Bacteria
Description: bacterial SSU rRNA
Rfam family: Bacterial small subunit ribosomal RNA
Source: RNAcentral
AGUUUGAUCAUGGCUCAGAUUGAACGCUGGCGGCAUGCCUAACACAUGCAAGUCGAACGGUAACGGCAGAAACAAUCCUUCGGGUGCGUUUUUGGACGACGAGUGGCGGACGGGUGAGUAAUGCUUGGGAAUUUGCCUAGUAGUGGGGGACAACACGGGGAAACUCGUGCUAAUACCGCAUACGCCCUACGGGGGAAAGCGGGGGAUCUUCGGACCUCGCGCUAUUAGAUGAGCCCAAGUCGGAUUAGCUUGUUGGUGAGGUAAAGGCUCACCAAGGCCGCGAUCCGUAGCUGGUCUGAGAGGACGAUCAGCCACACUGGGACUGAGACACGGCCCAGACUCCUACGGGAGGCAGCAGUGGGGAAUAUUGCACAAUGGGCGCAAGCCUGAUGCAGCAAUGCCGCGUGUGUGAAGAAGGCCUGCGGGUUGUAAAGCACUUUCAGUAGAGAAGAAAAGCUCAAGGUUAAUACCUUUGAGUCUUGACAUUAACUACAGAAGAAGCACCGGCUAACUCCGUGCCAGCAGCCGCGGUAAUACGGAGGGUGCGAGCGUUAAUCGGAAUUACUGGGCGUAAAGCGCGCGUAGGCGGCUAGGUCAGUCGGAUGUGAAAGCCCCGGGCUUAACCUGGGGAACUGCAUUCGAUGCUGCCUGGCUAGAGUAUGGUAGAGGGAAGUGGAAUUCCGGGUGUAGCGGUGAAAUGCGUAGAUAUCCGGA